CGCCUUGCCAGCCCGCUCAGAACUUAAAGGAAUUGACGGGGCCCGCACAAGCGGUGGAGCAUGUGGUUUAAUUCGUAAGCAACGCGAAGAACCUUACCAGGCCUUGACAUGCAGAGAACUUUCCAGAGAUGGAUUGGUGCCUUCGGGAACUCUGACACAGGUGCUGCAUGGCUGUCGUCAGCUCGUGUCGUGAGAUGUUGGGUUAAGUCCCGUAACGAGCGCAACCCUUGUCCUUAGUUACCAGCACGUUAUGGUGGGCACUCUAAGGAGACUGCCGGUGUUAAACCGGAGGAAGGUGGGGAUGACGUCAAGUCCUCAUGGCCUUUAUGACCAGGGCUACACACGUACUACAAUGGCCGAUACAAAGGGCAGCGACACUGCGAGGUGAAGCCAAUCCCGUAAAAUCGGUCUCAGUCCGGAUUGGAGUCUGCAACUCGACUCCAUGAAGUUGGAAUCGCUAGUAAUCGUGGAUCAGCAUGCCACGGUGAAUACGUUCCCGGGCCUU
Molecule: ribosomal RNA, 505 nt
Filed under: uncultured Bacillus sp.
Lineage: Bacteria; Bacillati; Bacillota; Bacilli; Caryophanales; Bacillaceae
Description: bacterial SSU rRNA
Rfam family: Bacterial small subunit ribosomal RNA
Source: RNAcentral